AAUGACAUUGGUCACUAAAAUUAGAGAUGAAUUUUAAAUAGUUUUAUGGUACAAUAUUAGUAAAUAAAAUUAAAUCAUUAAUUAUUAGUUAUAAAGAUAAAUUUUGAAUAGUUUCAAUGAUCUAUUAUCAUUAUUAAUAUUCAAAGUAACAUCAUUUAUCAUUAGCUAUAGAGAUAACUAAUAGUUUCAUAUGGUCGCAUACGGAUAGUGUCGGAUAUUGUCGAAUACGAACGUGGAAUCGGAUAGAGAAAAUCAGGAAAAACGAAUUCGGAUAUAUCCAUUUCAGUACCACAUUAAAUUUGGAUACGAAUACGGAUAUCUAUAUUUGUCAUUUUAGCGGAUACGGAUUCGGAUAUCCAUUUCCACAUUUCCA
Molecule: long non-coding RNA, 373 nt
Filed under: Setaria viridis
Lineage: Eukaryota; Viridiplantae; Streptophyta; Magnoliopsida; Poales; Poaceae
Description: long non-coding RNA (SVIR_LNC008758)
Source: RNAcentral